This 668-nucleotide ribosomal RNA is filed under the name uncultured bacterium. RNAcentral's name for it is "bacterial SSU rRNA". It matches the Rfam family "Bacterial small subunit ribosomal RNA", at positions 72 to 740 of the family's 1533-position model. The record is from RNAcentral.
AUAGUCCUUCGGAAUUAGAGACCGGCGCACGGGUGCGUAACGCGUAUGCAAUCUANCUUUCACAGAGGGAUAGCCCAGAGAAAUUUGGAUUAAUACCUCAUAGUAUUAUGAAAUGGCAUCAUUUUAUAAUUAAAGUCACAACGGUGAAAGAUGAGCAUGCGUCCCAUUAGCUAGUUGGUAAGGUAACGGCUUACCAAGGCUACGAUGGGUAGGGGUCCUGAGAGGGAGAUCCCCCACACUGGUACUGAGACACGGACCAGACUCCUACGGGAGGCAGCAGUGAGGAAUAUUGGACAAUAGGCGCAAGCCUGAUCCAGCCAUGCCGCGUGCAGGAUGACGGUCCUAUGGAUUGUAAACUGCUUUUGCACAGGAAGAAACAACUCUACGUGUAGAGUCUUGACGGUACUGUGAGAAUAAGGAUCGGCUAACUCCGUGCCAGCAGCCGCGGUAAUACGGAGGAUCCAAGCGUUAUCCGGAAUCAUUGGGUUUAAAGGGUCCGUAGGCGGUUUAGUAAGUCAGUGGUGAAAGCCCAUCGCUCAACGGUGGAACGGCCAUUGAUACUGCUAGACUUGAAUUAUUAGGAAGUAACUAGAAUAUGUGGUGUAGCGGUGAAAUGCUUAGAGAUUACAUGGAAAUACCAUUGCGAAGGCAGGUUACUACUAANGNAU